Molecule: ribosomal RNA, 496 nt
Filed under: uncultured bacterium
Lineage: Bacteria
Description: partial 16S ribosomal RNA
Rfam family: Bacterial small subunit ribosomal RNA
Source: RNAcentral
GAUGAACGCUGGCGGCGUGCCUAAUACAUGCAAGUCGAGCGAACAGACGAGGAGCUUGCUCCUCUGACGUUAGUGGCGGACGGGUGAGUAACACGUGGAUAACCUACCUAUAAGACUGGGAUAACUUCGGGAAACCGGAGCUAAUACCGGAUAAUAUAUUGAACCGCAUGGUUCAAUAGUGAAAGACGGUUUUGCUGUCACUUAUAGAUGGAUCCGCGCCGCAUUAGCUAGUUGGUAAGGUAACGGCUUACCAAGGCAACGAUGCGUAGCCGACCUGAGAGGGUGAUCGGCCACACUGGAACUGAGACACGGUCCAGACUCCUACGGGAGGCAGCAGUAGGGAAUCUUCCGCAAUGGGCGAAAGCCUGACGGAGCAACGCCGCGUGAGUGAUGAAGGUCUUCGGAUCGUAAAACUCUGUUAUUAGGGAAGAACAAAUGUGUAAGUAACUAUGCACGUCUUGACGGUACCUAAUCAGAAAGCCACGGCUAACUACGU